RNAcentral lists this long non-coding RNA (254 nucleotides) under Gossypium raimondii (Peruvian cotton). Its description in RNAcentral is "long non-coding RNA (GRAI_LNC006173)". The record is from RNAcentral. Lineage: Eukaryota; Viridiplantae; Streptophyta; Magnoliopsida; Malvales; Malvaceae.
UUUUUUUAAAUUUUACACCGUAAUUUGUUUUGGCUUUCAAUUUCGUCCCUUUUGAAGCUAUGCGUUUUGGAAGGUGGGGAAAAUUGCCCAUUUGGUCCCUCCUUGUUAUUCGUGCUUUCAAAAUGGUCCUCCCCUUUUAUUUAUUUUCCGAUUUGACCUCGAAUUUUGUUUUAAAAUUCAAUUUAGCCUUUUUUUUUAUUUUUUUUAUUUUUUUUGUUAUUUUGGUUACUUUAUUAUUAACAUUAAUGAAUUUG